This 12304-nucleotide long non-coding RNA is filed under the name Malus domestica (apple). RNAcentral's name for it is "long non-coding RNA (MDOM_LNC005183)". Lineage: Eukaryota; Viridiplantae; Streptophyta; Magnoliopsida; Rosales; Rosaceae. The record is from RNAcentral.
AAUCAACAUAGAUGGUUAAAAACUAGUUUGUAUGCCGUAAAUUGUGUAGUCUAGGCUUCAGAUCCCGUCCAUUCCUCUUUUUGCUAGAACUUUAGAAAGCAAAAUGAGGUCCGAGUGAAAGCAAAACACUCUGUUUCAAAUUGCAGCUACGAGGUGCCUCAUGAGAAAGACAUCGUGAUAUGCAUUUACUGCUUUCAGCUAGUUUGUAAUUGAUCUAAUCUCUCUUCCCCUUCAAUCUUAUGAUGUUGCAGACGAAUGGCGAGGAGCAGUGCAAGUAUCUUGUAGAGUACAUGGAAAACGAUGCUGGAGGCAGCUUUUGUAAUUUGAACGUGGUUCCCGAUUUUGCUGGUAUUAAUAGAUUUGUUACUGGAAUCCGAGUCACCCUUUCUUUUACUCUUAGAUAUACAACAACAACAAAGCCUUUUACUCUUAGAUAUAAACAAGAAAUAAUCAAAAUUUGUUUAUGAGUAAGAUUGAGAUUAGGCGGAAGUGUUAUGUCUAUACGCUAGUUUUCUAGUACUAGAGAUCCUUCUUUAAUUUUCUAAGUUCCAAGUUUCCUACAUUGCUGCUAGCACAAUCUCCUAUUUGUUUGACAAUGAUAUAGAUUGUUUUUCUUCUUUGGUGGAGAAUAGCCAAUAAAAUGAUAGCAUGUUUACGUAUUUAGAAUAGGAAAAGUCAUGUUUACUUACUUGGACGGAAAAAGUCGCGAAUUGAACAAGUUGGAAUAACUCCAUUAUGCAUGGUAACGUAGAGCCCACGUACUUUCAUUUCCGAAUGCGUUAUCAAACACAACGAAAGUAAAAAAUAACUCAAUUACGCAUUCCAUGAAAGUAACACUAAAAUAAACGGAGUAAAAAUUUUAUUGAGGAGAUAAAUAUGUACAAAAAGUUGAACAGUUGGUGGUGGCUUUUCAUCCGUAGAACACUUUGAGAUUAACAUAUGUCAGAUGUGAUUGGAAGUAUGGGGUUAAAGUAAAUGUGCAACAAGAGCAACAAAAACCUGAGCUCUUAUGCCUGAAAUCAGGCCCUAACCCUUUGGGUCGAGAUACAAAGCGUGUCAAUCUUUGGUCUUAAUUUUCAAGACACUCAACCAUUCCCCUUCUUUGUUAAGCACCAACCUUCGUUUGGUGACACUAGCAACAAACCUAUUAAUCAGUAUCUUGACAAAUCCUCACUACAUCCUGAAAAAUCAUUUGCUCUUUCUUGAGAUGGGAACAUCUUCCGGCAUAGCCCUCUUAAGCUGCUCAGCAUGACGUUCUUCGCGAUUGCCUCUUCACUCUCUGGGGCAACUUGAAUGGACUCCAGCUCUUUCGGCGUUUAGAGGAGGACUCACAAAAAAGAGGCCAGAGGCCAGAGCUUGCUGAAGCCACACCUCAAAUUCUUCUUCAUCUUCAUCCAUCAUUUCAGCAUCCAAAUCCCACGGGAAUCUACUUGAGUUGGAUCUUUGAGUUUUCUCCAAACCAACCAUGUUAACGUGGAAGCUAGGCCUAUGAGUGUUGGGCCUGCACGCCAUUCCCUGCAUGGAACAAGUUGAAGCGAUAAGAUACCAACCUCGUUUCUCCCUGGCACAAAGUAGAGAUGCACACCAAAAACAUAAUCAUGGAUCAAGGGUACUUGUUCUAUUAGUCCAAGGAACAAUUAAAAGUCCUUCCAAUAUAGUGUCUUCUGUGCUACAAGGUUCAGUAGGAUGUCUGCCAGGUAACUGGGGUCCGCUCGCUCACUGUUCUACUCAAAUUUGAAUACUUUCCAGAUCAAGUUUUAAAUAAGAAUGAUGCUUUUGAGGCAAUUUGCCUGAUUCAUGUAAUUUUGCAGUUCCACCGCUGUAUAGGGUACAAAACAUGCAGACUGUAGAACAAGGACAAGCUUGCAGAACUUAGAUAUUAUAUCCUGAUUAAAACCAUUACCUGACAAAUAGCCCAUUCAGAUACAUCAAAGAUUUUGCUCUCAGCACAGACGAAGGCCCGUGGUAUUUCCACCUAAAUGAAAAGAAAAAAAAACAACAAACAAAGACAACAAAAAUCAUAAGGGAUGCUUAAAUGUACAUGUCUGCAACGAGGGAAAUGAUUCAGCUUAACAAAUCAUGCAAAUCAGUGUUAUGAAGAUAUUAACAUGCAUUAUAGAAACAGGGAAUGCGUGUGAAAGUCACGAGAGCCCUUGAAAGCUGGAUCUCAUCCCUGAAAGUCACGAGAGCACCAUUUAAGCAUUUUGAAUUCUGAACUUCUAACUCUCAAAUUCCUACCUUUAUUUAUAGUCAUUUCUGCAGUUUCUGACAUGCAACUCGCUUCAGUGAAAAAUUGUUUUGUUUGUUUAACGCAUUGAUAAAUGCAUGUGAGUGAGGACAGCAGAACCAUUUGCAUAGGGUGAGAAAAAGGUGUUCAGGUAAAAACUCUCAAGGUAUACACAAUUAAGCUUGGAAAAAAUACACAAAAAGUACUGUGUAAAAUACCUUAUGUGGCCUAUUAAAUACUAAAGUUCCUUUGUACUCAACCCAUCCAUCUCCAUCCUUUGCUUGGUGAUAUUGACAGCAAUCCUAAUUGCACAAUGGAUCCAAUACAUCAGAUGCAUACAGCAAUGAUGCAAAAAAAAUGAGAAAAGUAACAUAUUUGACAUUGAAAUUAGUUAAAAAGAACAGCAACAAAUAGAGAAUAAUGUCAGACCUGACACCAUCUAGCCUUGGCCUUGCUUCUGUUUGUGCAUAUCCAUAUAUGCGAAUUUCCACACUUAGUGCACUGUAUACGUCUCGACUCUUCAGAAAAAUAAUCUGGACCAUCCUGCUUAUACACAAUUAAAUAGGGGUUAUAUAACAAAAGCAGUAAAUUGACUCGGAAAAAUGACCCAGUGAAAUACAGAUUUAUCAUCGGACAAUAAGAUGUGGAAGUACAAUGCAGACUGCUAUAAAAAAAGAUAGCUUCUUCUACAUUGCAUAAUUGAUAUAAAUUGGAAAUUAUGCACCAUAGAAAAUUUAAUUAAUAUAUUUUGAAUUUGCAAUUACUAAGACAAUAUAGAAAUAUGGGUUAAUCUCAGUUUACUACCUUGGUUUUCAACAUUUGUUACAUCAAGUAUUUUUUUUAUUCCAGAGUGGUACCUGAAAUCAUAAAUUUGGGACACUUUCAUACAUCCAUUAAGGUUGCUGUUAAAUCAGCCGGUGACAAGGCGCCCACAUGAACACUGAUUGGACGCCACGUGUCAAUAUGGGCCCAUGUAAAUAUUAUAAAAAAAGGGUUAAAAUAUCUGGGCAGCCCAACCCUCCCUCCCUUCCCUCCUGCACCCACCCAACCCUCCCUUCUCUCCUCUGCGCCCACCCAACCCUCUUCAAUCCCCCGCACAUCCAACCUUCCCCCUCCCUCUUUGACUCCACUCUUCUCUCCCCUGAUCCUUCCAUACCCGAACAACCUCUCCCUCACCACCAUACCCCAACCCCACCCAUUUGACGGCCGGUGGUCAACAAAACCUAGAUUUACGGCCGGAGAGUCACACCUACCAGAUUUGACGGCGGUGAAGAACAAAACCCAGCGGCCGGAGAAGACAGUGGCGGGGAGCACAAACCCAGCAGCCAAAACGAUUUUUUAAUCUUUUCAAAUUUUCUUUCGAUUUUUGCAUUGAACAUGGCCUCUGUUCUGCCAUCUGUUAUGCAAGAUUUGGUCUGAUUUGGAUUUUUUUUUUCUGCAUUCGUUGUGGAUUCGGAUCCCAGGUGCCAAAUAGGGACAAACAAAGUGAAAGGGGUUGGGUGGAUAUGAAAAGGGAGUACAGCGCUGCCCAGAUUUUUAUUAUUUUUUAAUCUUUAAUGUCUAAAUGCGCCCAUAUUGACACGUGGUGUUCACUCAUUGUCCAUGUGGGCACCACGUAACCAAAUGUAUGAAAGUGUCUCAAAAUUAUGAUUUUAGGUACCAUUCUGAGAUGAAAAAAAUUUGAUGUACCAAAUGUUGAAAACCAGGAAACUUCAGGGUAGAAAACUGAGAUUAACCCUAGAAAUAUUAUAACUGCUCUCAUAUCUAGAGUUAUUGAUGACCUCCAUCAAAAUGACAAUCAGAUAAAUCUCAGGAAAGUGUAUGACACUAAACAACUAAAGGCUCGUUUGGAUGUGCUUUUAAAAUAACUAAAAGCGCUUUUAGAGAACAUAUUUUUGGGUUUCAAAAGUACUUAAAAUGUUUUCUAUAAGAAGCAUUAGUUAUGUGCUUCUUCCAAGAAGCACUUAAAGUACUUUUUCAGGAUUUACUUGCAUCUUUACCAAAGAUUAGUUCUAAAAAUAUCAUGCAACGUUGCACCAUGAUUCGAAGAGUAAAUUUUUUAUGUCACUUUUUAAUUCUCAUGCCAACAUUAUAUAAUAUUGUACUAAAAAUAUGAGGUGGCAGAGAGUCCAUAGAGUCUCAAUUUUGAGAGUGCAUUUCUCAUCGGCUAAACUCAACAAACUCUAAGAUCGUUUCACUUUUAACAAUUAUCCAAUAAAUAAACAAACUAUAAUAUUUAUUAAACACUGAAGUUUUAACAAGGUAAUAGAAAAAUCAAACUAUUUUUUAUUUGGCUAUUACAAAGUCUUACAAAAAGGAAAAAGAACAAACAAAACAAAAUAAAAUGCAAUCUGGUGGAAUGUCGUUCCAUGCCUAAAAAUAAAGCUAAUAAACACACGGAGCGUGUCGUUUCGCCUAGUCACAGUCAUUGUCGCUCAUUACCUGUCUUGGCGCGAAGAAACGACACUUCUCAACUGCUUUUCAAAAUCACUUGCAAACUCAAAGCUUCUCCCUGCAGAGUACAAGAUGCAAAAGCCAUUAAAACAACAAUAAUGUUAUUCUUAUCAUAUUUUUGUAUCACAGUUCUAUACCACCUUAGGCGGUAUUUGAUGUGAACAGCUACAUCAUCUAAAUUAAUUAGUAUUUAAUUUCAAAAUGUUAAUCAAUAAUUAAUAAAAAUAUUGUUAAUUAAAUGAUGAUUGUGGUAUACAAGGAGUCUCCUUCUUCCACCUAAGAUUAUUAAGUGUUUUAAUUAAUAAAAAUAUUGAAAUUAAAUGAUAUAGCUUGUCCAAACACAUCUGUCACCUAAGAUGGUAAAAAAAUAUGGUAUAAAAUUGUGGUAAGCAUCAGUGACUCUUAAAACAAUAAUAUCACAUGAUUUCAAAGCUACCCACCAACGUCCCGCCUCACCUGAGCCUUAGGUUCUUGAAAAUCUACUGUAAUUCCGGCGAUUUACAACGUGCACGCCGCCUGUUCAAUCAAAUUCCCGAACCAGACCUGCGUGCGGGGACCGUGCUCAUAUCAGGCUACACGCGACAUGGGUUCCUCAAGGAAUCCAUAGAUCUUCUGCUUCUGUCAGUUGCUAAGGCGUGUGCUGCUCGUGGUGAUGUUAGAAAUGCUAAAGAGCUUCACGAUGAUGCAAUUCGAUUCGGGUUUCAUUCGGAUGUCUCUUUGGGCAAUGCAAUGGUCGAUACGUUUGGAAAAUGAAAGUAUGUUGAUGGGGCGAGAAGGGUUUUCGAUGCCAUGGCAGUGAAAGAUGUGGUGUCUUGGACCUCUUUGUGUUCUUGUUAUGUUAACUGCGGGAUGCCCAGACACGGUUUGGAGGCAUUUCGCGAAUGGAGUGAGACCCAAUAUAGUAACAGUUUCUUCAAUCCUACCUGCUUGCUCGGAGUUGAAAGAUUUGAAUUUGGAAAGAGUGAUUCAUGGGUUUCUGGUCAGACAUGGAAUGGAAGAGAAUGUUUUGGUUAGCAGCGCCCUUGUAAAUAUCUAUGCUAGUUGUCUGAGCACUAAACAAGCUCAGUUGGUAUUUGAUAUGAUGUCUAGACGAGAUGUCGUGUCCUGGAAUGUACAUCUAACUGCGUAUUUUUCGAACAGAGAUUGCAAAAAGGGUGUAACUUUAUUUUCUAGGAUGAGAAGGGAAGGUGUUAAAUUGGAUGGUGCUUCAUGGAAUGCUGUUAUUGGUGGGGUGCUUGAAUAACGGGCAGACGGAAGAGGCGCUGAAAAUGCUCGGACAGAUGCAAGAAUCAGGAAUUAAGUCCAAUCAGAUCACAAUUACUAGUUUGUUACCAGCUUGCAAAGAUUUGGAGAGCUUGAGGGCAGGCAAAGAGGUGCACAGUUACAUCUUUAGGAAUUGUUUAAUGGAGGACUUGGCUGUGGUAAGCCACGGGGAUCCAUUAGUAUCGAAAACUCUCCUGGAGCAGGAUCUUCUGUGCUAUUCCAAGACGAUCCAUUACUUUAGUCUAAAGUAGGAGGGGGAACGGCACUGUGCAAUUUUGCCUCAAUUUCACUUUAUUUACGAGCUUGCCUCAAUUUUGCAUUUCAUUCUUCGUUCAGUGAGGGAUUCGGGGAGGGGAGGCCAUGCCGCUCUGGGAUCGAGAUAGAGAGACAGAGGGAAAGGGAGACAGAGGCAGAGCGACCGAGAGAGAGUGAGAGGGAGGAGUGGGGAUCCUCGAUUUCAUGAGUGGGAGAGGGGGUACAGUCGGAGAAAAAGCAUGGGGGCCGUCGGGAUUUGAGGGGGAGGCGUCGGGAUCGUGAGCGGGGGUCUGGGUUUGUCCCUUUGGACCGUUUGCGACCUCUCUUGGCGACUUACUCCAGCUUUCCGGUGAUGGAAAAACUGUAUCAUUCACUCCUCAGGUAUGUUACUUUUCGGUCAUUGUUUUAUUAAUUCCAGUUCUCAUUCUAAUCUCUGUAAAGUUUGUGGCUUUGCUCUGUUUACUGUUUGAAGAGGAGAUAGAAAGUGCAGCCUUUCUUCGCCUCUGAAUAUUGUCAGAAUCUCUUCCCUCUUUUUUUUUUUUUUUUUUUUUUUGGAAAACUGGAGAACUAGUAUUCCAGGGCACAGCCAACAAAGUACACACAAGAGGGUCCAAUUACAAGAUUAAUACAAAGCAAAAGUGCACCCUAACCAAAGCCCAAGGAGAACUAAGUACAAGCACAAACGGGCCAACAGAGUAAAACAGAAAAGAGCCCAAAAGAGCAAAAGAAACCCUAGUCUUCUGCUUCCACCUCGCAAAAGAGCUAAACUUGUAAUCAUAAAUAUUUUUCUUGCAGACUUAUAAUUGCAUGUCUCAUUGUUUGCCAGCAAAAGACUAUAAGCUUCAUGUCAACCUUCCGAACACGUUUUCUGAUGGUAGAUUGAAGGAUUAACAAGCACUUCAAUGAUGAUCUACAGACUACCGAGGAUCUAUCAACGCAGUGCUGAAAGUAUUCUCUGAACAAAGAAGCAUCCUUGAUGGUGAUUCAGGGAUGCUUUGUUCAGUGUAAAAACCGGGCUGCUUUGGAGGCGGCAAGGCAACAUCACUGCUCAACAUUAGAACCACAGAUGACAUGUUUGGUCUAUCCUCAGGUACUCUUUGCACACAUAAUAGCCCCACGUGAAGACACCUUACCACUUCAUAUAUGUUGCACAAAUCACAAAACUUCUUAUCGAUCAGUUCUAGUGGUUUAUCCUGAAUCCAUAGUAUCCAUGCCUUAAAACAAAUUGAAACAUGUAUGAUAUGUUAGUGGCCUAAUAUGUAAAAGGUGCUUUGCUGCAAACCUUCAACACUGUGAAAUGGCAUGUCAUUACAAGACGUGCUUCGAAGAGCACCGUCUAAUUCACUAUUCUUUUUAAUGUAAAAUAUCAUCACCUUGUUGGUUAAACUUACAUGUCCAAGAAGGUUGUGGUUGUGAUCUGGAUGACGAAAUCCCCUGUUCUUCUUCCUACUCAACAUCUCGAGCAAUAUGACUCCAAAGCUAAACACAUCAGAUUUCAUCGAGAAAAUUCCAUCUGCUGUAUAUUCCGGAGACAUAUAACCACUGCCAGAUCAAUAUGCAGUGACCAGUGAGAAAGAAUUUCAAAAGCAAAACAAUCAAAAUAUAAACCACAAAACAAAUCUAAGCAUGCUUACUAGGUUCCAACCACUCUGUUUGUAUUGGCCUGACUUUGGUCACCGCCGAAUGUUUUAGCCAGGCCGAAGUCUGAAAUCUUCGGGUUCAUAUUAUUAUCUAGCAAAAUAUUACUACAUUUCAAAUCUCGAUGUAUAAUCCUUAAUCUAGAGUCUUGGUGAAGAUAAAGAAGCCCUCGAGCAACUCCACUGAUAAUGUGGAAGCACUUAGGCCAAUCGAGCAAUUUUUGUCCCUCCUGAUCUGAAGAAACUUUAAGCUUGUUAUGUCAAUGCCACAUUGAAUCCUAGUAUAAUAAGGUUGAAAAUGAAGGAUCGUACCAAAAAUAUAGAAGUCCAAGCUUUUGUUGGGCAUGAAUUCAUAUAUUAGAAUCUUUUCAUCUUUUUGAAUGCAACAACCGAGAAGCUUAACAAGAUUGCGAUGCUGAAGUCUGGCUAUGAGUAUAACUUCAGUUUUGAACUCUUUCAUUCCUUGUCCGGAAUUCUUUGAAAGCCUCUUUACUGCAAUUUCUUUUCCUCCUAUCAGGGUACCCUAUUGACCAUCAUUUCGAAAAGACUUAAAUUUUGUAUAGCAAUUUAGCUAAUUUUGAUUGCAUGAAUUUAUGUUACCUUGUACACAGGUCCAAAGCCACCUUCUCCCAGCUUGUUACAGCUUGAAAAGUUGUCAGUGGCUUUAGCUAUGGUGGUCAAGUCAAACAGUGGUAACUCCAUCUCUUCCCCGUCUUCUCCAAGGUAUUCGUCUCUGCAAUCCUUUCUUCUGUGUCCUGAAAUAGUAGGAGAUCUCUUCAGCGUGGACAAAAAGAUGCGAACAGUUAGCUACACUAUCGAAAUUAAAUACUACCUUAUCUAAUGCAUUUUUAAUGUGUCUGAAAAUGGUUACCUUCAUAUCUGAGUUUCUUCAUCCGUAUGUACAAUAUCAUUCCAACAAGCAAUCCCACGAGAAAAACUGCAGAGCUGAGGAGAAUUGCUAGUAGCUGUCUCUUGUUGAAAUUGCUCUUUUUCUUAACAUGAUCUGAAAUAUCCGUAUAAAACAAACUUUGCAUGUGCUCGUAGUGUUCCAGUAACUGUGGUUCUAACAUUAACUUAUUUAAACCCUACUUUGCAUAAUUGCAGAUAAGGGUCUAAGACGUACCUAGUUCUGAAGCUGCCACCCGUAUAUAGAGGUCUUGACCACCGCCGGGAGUGAAUUCUUUUAUGUCGAUGAGGUUACCAAACCAAAGCACGCAGCCACUUCCUCCCUCCCUGAUGUCUAGAUUUGCACACGCCGUGCAUGAGCAGUUUCCCCAACAUAAUCCCUUGCAUUCACUAAGGCUCAUGCUUUUAUCAAACCAUGAGGAGGAUGUGUCUGGCAAUUUAAUCCCACUAUACUUUACGAAGCCAUCUCCAUCGCUGCAGGCCAACGGAGUCCUUCGAACACAUCCAUCAGACCAAUAUCCCGAAUUCCAAUCUUUCAAAGAUUUUGGUACAAAUCCCUUCAUGCAUGCACAUAUUGCAGAGUUACUAUUGAUACUGCAACUAGAAAAUGGACCGCACAAGGCAUACUUUCACACCGAUCUGCUAGGAAUGAAAAGGCAAGUUCCCAACUCUGUGUUUGGGACACCCAUGUGAACUUCUCUGAGACUCCUGAUGGGUUCAAUACAUAUCUCGAGAACACUGACAUGUUCCGGAGCCUGUACUCAUAAUAGACCUCGUCCUUGUUCAUCACAAAUUCAGUCCCAGAUAUUGGAUCUGGAUGUGUGACAUCAUAUCCGUAUCCUGUCAAAUAAAGGCCAUUCCAUGACCCUCGUCUGGCUUGUAUCUUAUCUCCUUUCAUAAUUAAAAAUUGUGGUAAGCCACGCAGAUCCACUCGUCCCGAAAACGCUCCCGGAGAAGGAUCUUCUGUGCUCUUCCAAGACGAGAGAUACCUCUCUAAACCGGUAACCAAGUCCCAACCAAGCUUCAUUUCCGGUAGGUAUGUGUCACAAGGAUAAUCAAAACUCUGCCACAAGAAGUUAUCCGGGUUAGUUUCUUUCCCAUCUUGCACCACAAGAUUUCCAGAAUCCAAUAGUUGCGAUACUGGAUUCCCCGCAAUUCUUGAUGAAUUCGAUGACCACACAAUGCUGUUUGAGCUAUUCAGGAGGACUAGAACUCCUUGCUCCGUGAGCUUCAAAAGUCCUGAAGAAUCACCAAGUGGUGUUUCUCUGUUGGCCACCCACACAACUGCAUCAGCAGAAGCAGUGUACCAUAUUCCCAAGUACCGGCUUUUCGAUUUACCAGGGCUGAAGAAUCCCAGUUCAUAGCUUCCACCUACUGAAACCAGAGUUUCGCCAUCUCUUAUAUAUCCACUCGGAGUGAUCGUGACCAGUGCAGUUGCAGCUGAGAUUCUUUGGAGGGAGAAUAAGAAGAACAAGCACAUAAAAACACUUGUCAAGGCUUGCAUCGUUGUUCUGAGAUUGCAUGCUUUAUCCAAAGAAAUUAAUACAAAAAAUUAUGCAGAGAAGAUGGAAAAAUCAAAGUAAAUUCAAAGACUUGGGUUUCUUGAUUGACCCAACACCUUUGGUUUGGCAAGUCAGCCAUGGACUAUUGACAAUUUUGACUCAACUGAGUUGACAGCUGACACUGUUCACAUCUCCAAUGGUGGAUUGCCAAACGACUAUUUGUACCAAGUUUAUUUAUUAAAUAUGUCUGUAUUUGAGAAAAUAAAUAAUGUUUUUGUAUAUAUGUCAAAGUUCUACGUGUAAAAAAUAAAUGACAUACAUGGCGAACUGUUGAAAUUCAAACCAUAGGGUUAUGCAAACGAUCAUUUGAUAGCAUCUUGUCUUCAAUUUAUUUGGAGAGGUUACGAGUUCAAAUUUCAAAGAGAAACGUGUUCAAAUUUUAAAGAGGAAUGUCAACGUCUUCUUAUUUGAAAUUUUUUAUUCUACAUUACUGACUUUUUUUUUAUCGUGCAAUGUUACAAAAUGGUCCACACUGUAGAUUUUUUAAGUCAUUCUUCAAAGGUCAAAUCUACUAAAAAUUAACCAAUUUUAAGAUCGUUUAGCUAUUUAACAAGUAUCAAAUAAAUAAACAAACUGUGAUUCUAUUAAACAUUAAAAUUUUAAGAACGUUAAUCGAAAGAUCAAACUAUCUUUUAUUUGACUAUUACGAAGUCUUACAAAAAGGAAAAAGAACAAACAAAACAUAAAAUGCAAUCAGGUGGAAUGUCGUUCCAUGCCUAAAAUAAAGCUAAUAAGCCUACGGGGCAUGUCGUUUCUUGCCUAGAAAGUCAUCGUCCGCUUAUUACAUGUCCUGGCGUGAAGAAACGGUACUUCUCAAUUGCUUUUCAGUACUAGGCCUAUAAAAAGGAUCGAGGCUUGAUGGGCCGGCUUAAAGCCCAACCCUAUUUUUUGGUGGUGGGCUAGCCCGAUACAGUUUUAGAGUCGAGCUUUAUCCAACCUGAUUUAAAAUGGGCAGGGCCUAAACCUUGCCUUUUAAGCCUUGACAUCUUUAGACUACUUAGUACGUCCCAUGUAAUUUAAAUAUUUUUUUUUUUGAACAACGAUAUUAUCUACACUAAAAGGGAGGGGAUUUGAUCUACAUAUUUUUGUAUGCUAUAAAUUGUGUAGUCUAGGCUUCAGAUCCCGUCCAUUCCUCGUUUUGCUAGAACUUUAGAAAGUAAAAAUGAGGUCCGAGUGAAAGCAAAACACACUGUGUUUCCAAAUUGCAGCUACGAGGUGCCUCAUGAGAAAGACAUCGUGAUAUGCAUUUACUGUUUUCAGCUAGUUUGUAAUUGAUCUAAUCUCUCUUCCCCUUCAAUCUUAUGAUGUUGCACGAAUGGCGAGGAGCAGUGCAAGUAUCUUGUAGAGUACAUGGAAAACGAUGCUGGAGGCAGCUUUUGUAAUUUGAACGUGGUUCCCGAUUUUGCUGGUAUUAAUAGAUUUGUUACUGGAAUCCGAGUCACCCUUUCUUUUACUCUUAGAUAUACAACAACAACAAAGCCUUUUACUCUUAGAUAUAAACAAGAAAUAAUCAAAAUUUGUUUAUGAGUAAGAUUGAGAUUAGGCGGAAGUGUUAUGUCUAUACGCUAGUUUUCUAGUACUAGAGAUCCUUCUUUAAUUUUCUAAGUUCCAAGUUUCCUACAUUGCUGCUAGCACAAUCUCCUAUUUGUUUGACAAUGAUAUAGAUUGUUUUUCUUCUUUGGUGGAGAAUAGCCAAUAAAAUGAUAGCAUGUUUACGUAUUUAGAAUAGGAAAAGUCAUGUUUACUUACUUGGACGGAAAAAGUCGCGAAUUGAACAAGUUGGAAUAACUCCAUUAUGCAUGGUAACGUAGAGCCCACGUACUUUCAUUUCCGAAUGCGUUAUCAAACACAACGAAAGUAAAAAAUAACUCAAUUACGCAUUCCAUGAAAGUAACACUAAAAUAAACGGAGUAAAAAUUUUUAUUGAGGAGAUAAAUAUGUACAAAAAGUUGAACACAGUUGGUGGUGGCUUUUCAUCCGUAGAACACUUUGAGAUUAAC